Molecule: ribosomal RNA, 329 nt
Filed under: uncultured eukaryote
Lineage: Eukaryota
Description: partial 18S ribosomal RNA
Rfam family: Eukaryotic small subunit ribosomal RNA
Source: RNAcentral
CCCUUAGAUGUCCUGGGCCGCACGCGCGCUACACUGAGUGUCUGAGAUACGAGUCUGCCUGGUCCGGCAAGGUCUAGGUAAUCGCUAAAAGACAAAUCAUGCUUGGAAUAGAUUAUUGCAAAUAUUAAUCUUGAACGAGGAAUUCCUAGUAAGCGCAAGUCAACAGCUUGCGUUGAUUACGUCCCUGCCCUUUGUACACACCGCCCGUCGCUACUACUGAUUGGAUGUUUAAGCGAGGUUCUCGAACUGCUAGCGACUUAGCUUCGGUGAGGUCGCAGUGUGGGAAGUGAACCUAGCUUUGGUGUCUAGAGGAAGUAAAAGUCGUAACA